GUUUGAUCCUGGCUCAGGAUGAACGCUAGCGGGAGGCCUAACACAUGCAAGCCGAGCGGUAGAGAUCUUCGGAAUCUUGAGAGCGGCGUACGGGUGCGGAACACGUGUGCAACCUACCUUUAUCUGGAGGAUAGCCUUUCGAAAGGAAGAUUAAUACUCCAUAAUAUAUUGAUUGGCAUCAAUUGAUAUUGAAAGCUCCGGCGGAUAGAGAUGGGCACGCGCAAGAUUAGUUAGUUGGUGAGGUAACGGCUCACCAAGACGACGAUCUUUAGGGGCCUGAGAGGGUGAUCCCCCACACUGGUACUGAGACACGGACCAGACUCCUACGGGAGGCAGCAGUGAGGAAUAUUGGUCAAUGGGUGCAAGCCUGAACCAGCCAUCCCGCGUGAAGGACGACUGCCCUAUGGGUUGUAAACUUCUUUUGUAUAGGGAUAAACCUACCCUCGUGAGGGUAGCUGAAGGUACUAUACGAAUAAGCACCGGCUAACUCCGUG
Molecule: ribosomal RNA, 494 nt
Filed under: uncultured bacterium
Lineage: Bacteria
Description: bacterial SSU rRNA
Rfam family: Bacterial small subunit ribosomal RNA
Source: RNAcentral